UACGGAGGAUGCAAGCGUUAUCCGGAAUUAUUGGGCGUAAAGCGUCCGCAGGUGGCACUUCAAGUCUGUCGUCAAAGACCGGGGCUUAACCCUGGAAAGGCGAUGGAAACUGAAAGGCUAGAGAGAGGUAGGGGUAGAGGGAAUUCCCAGUGUAGCGGUGAAAUGCGUAGAGAUUGGGAAGAACAUCGGUGGCGAAAGCGCUCUACUGGACCUCAUCUGACACUCAGGGACGAAAGCUGGGGGAGCGAAUGGG
This 253-nucleotide ribosomal RNA is filed under the name uncultured bacterium. Its description in RNAcentral is "partial 16S ribosomal RNA". It matches the Rfam family "Bacterial small subunit ribosomal RNA", at positions 524 to 776 of the family's 1533-position model. The record is from RNAcentral.